UCAAGACAAGCUCAGAUAGUAAGGAAUCUGCCUGCAGUGCAGGAGACCCAGGUUCAAUCCCUGGGUCAGGAA
Molecule: transfer RNA, 72 nt
Filed under: Bos taurus (domestic cattle)
Lineage: Eukaryota; Metazoa; Chordata; Mammalia; Artiodactyla; Bovidae
Also listed under: 3 other names
Rfam family: tRNA
About the family: Transfer RNA (tRNA) molecules are approximately 80 nucleotides in length.
Source: Rfam by way of RNAcentral